AUGAGAGCAUCAGCUGUUCCGGAUGACUGUGUGGUCACGCUCUCUGUAGCCAACGUGAGUAAGACCUUUAAACAGGUCAACAUACACAAGGCUGAAGGGUCAGACAGAUUACCAGGACGUGUGCUCCAGGCAUGUGCUGACCAACUGGCAGGUGUCUUCACUGACAUUUUCAACAUGUCCCUGAUUGAGUCUGUAAUACCAACAUGUUUCAAGCAGACCACCAUAGUUCCUGUGCCCAAGAUCACAAAGGCAACCUGCCUAAAUGACUACAGACCCGUAGCACUCAUGUCCGUAGCCAUGAAGUGCUUUGAAAGGCUGGUAAUGGCUCACAUCAACAGCAUUGUCCCAGAGACCCUAGACCCACUCCAAUUUGCAUACCGCCCAAACAGAUCCACAGAUGACGCAAUCUCUAUUGCAUUCCACACUGCAGUUUCCCACCUGGACAAAAGGAACACUUAUGUUAGAAUGCUAUUCAUUGACUACAACUCAGCGUUCAACACCAUAGUACCCUCAAAGCUCACCACUAAGCUAUGGAUCCUGGGACUAAACACCUCCCUCUGCAACUGGAUCCUGGACUUCCUAAAGGUCCGUCCCCAGGUGGUGAGGGUAGGUAGCAACACAUCUGCCACGCUGAUCCUCAACACUGGAGCUCCACAGGGGUGUGUGCCUAGUCCCCUCCUGUACUCCCUGUUCACCAACGACUGCAUGGCCAGGCACGACUCCAACACAGUCAUUAAGUUUGCAGACGACACAACAGCGGUAGCCUUGUCACAGACAACAACGAGAGCCUAUUGGGAGGAGGUCAGAGACCUGGCUGUGUGGUGCCAGAAUAACAACCCAUCCCUCAACGUAACCAAGACUAAGGAGAUGAUUGUGGACUACAGGAAAAGGAGGACCGAGCAUGCCCCCAUUCUCAUCGACGUGGCCGUAGUGGAGCAGGUUGAGAGCUUCAAGUUCCUCGGUGUCCACAUCAACAACAAACUAGAAUGGUUCAAACACACCAAGACAGUCGUGAAGAGGGCACGACAAAGCCUAUUCCCCCUCAGGAAACGAAAAAGAUUUGGCAUGUGUUCUGAGAUACUCAAAAGGUUCUACAGCUGCAACAUCGAGAGCAUCCUAACUGGUUGCAUCACUGCCUAG
Molecule: long non-coding RNA, 1140 nt
Filed under: Oncorhynchus mykiss (rainbow trout)
Lineage: Eukaryota; Metazoa; Chordata; Actinopteri; Salmoniformes; Salmonidae
Description: lncRNA (ENSOMYG00000031342.2)
Source: RNAcentral